GAAGGAAUGCUCGCUGUUUCUUGAGUGUCUGUUGGACUGGGACUCUGGCUUUGGAUGAAGUAUUUUUGUGGGCCUUUGAGCAGGUGUUUUGUGUCUCCGGACCAGUAGAAGGGGCCAGAGGAAGUCUCGGAGCCACCCAGGCUUGUGAGCAAAGCCGUUGGCGACUGAGACACUGGCAUUUUGAGGAUCAUCUGACUCCAUUAGUUACAGUUCUGGGUAUGAAAUGUCCCUGGGUUUUUGGCACCAUCCUCCUCAGAGUCACAGCUUGCAGGAGAUAGCCACGUACUCCAGAAAGGCAAAGUGUUUGCUGAUACGGGCCUACACACGGGCCUACACACGUGCAUGAGGCCCAGUGUUUACCACCACUGACAGACUGUAUUUAGAAGCAACAGUGGAAGUGAAAAGAACCUCCCCAGAGCCACAAAAGCUGGAUUCUUCAGAUGGCAGAUGAAGGGGGGGCCCUGUGGGGAGCAAGACCUUCGUGCCAGGAGAGUGGAUUCCAAGGCCUGUGUGACUUCCCUCCAGCAAAUCUUAAUCCCAGUCUAAUCGAAAAACUGUGCUCCUCCUCCAGCUCCUGUCUGCCUCCAGGCUCCUCUGAGUAAUUCCUGUUCCCAGAAGGCAUCAUCUUAUUCCUCCAACCAUCAUGGCAUCUCAGUAUGGCCCGGAGUAUUUCUGGAAGUGAGUAUCCCCUUUCCUAAAGACAGCUUUUGAUGUUUUUAAUGAAUUCUGACAACUGCCACGAUUUUAACAUCCUCUCUUCAUAGCACUGGAUCCAGUCUGCUUACAGUGCUUAUUUAGUAGCCAGGAGUCCAUACAGUUGUUUUUAUGGUGAUGCUUUCGUUUUUCUCUUCUGCCCUAUCUCCACUCCUCACUUCCUGUUGCUGUAAUAAAGAACUUCCUCCUUUCUUUCCUAGGCUGCUCAGCGCUGCUGAAAGUUGCCUUAGGAGCAUGGAGAUUAGGAUUUCAUAGGAUUUCACUAAAAGUGUGUGUGUGUGUGUGUGUGUGUGUGUGUGUGUGUGUGUGUGUGUGCGCGCGCGCGCACGUAUGCAUGUGUGUAAUUCUUCUCUCAAAUAAUACAUCCUGACCACAGUUUCCCCUCACCCCAUUUCUCUCAGUCCCCCUGACAUUUCCCCUCUCCACCAGGUCUCUUCCUCCUCCAUUUCCCAUCAAAAAAGAGCAGGCUUUCUAGUGAUGCUAACUGAACCCAGCGUAGCAAGAUACAAUAAUUCUAGGCACAAUCC
This 1241-nucleotide long non-coding RNA is filed under the name Rattus norvegicus (Norway rat). RNAcentral's name for it is "long non-coding RNA NONRATT033662". Lineage: Eukaryota; Metazoa; Chordata; Mammalia; Rodentia; Muridae. The record is from RNAcentral.